UCUCUCCUCUCAAUCAUUGUUCCAAACACUCUUAAGAACCUAAAUGAAGAUCAUCGUCAACAAUCGUCUUGAUUGACAGUUAUUAUGGAUUUGGAAGAAUGAUACACAAAAUCUCUUACAUCAAAGGUUUUGUUAUCAAGAAAAAAUAUGGCCAUGAUGCCACCAAUGUUGGUGAUGAAGGUGAUUUUGCUUCUAAUAUUAUGGUGAUCAUGGUUUAACCAUUUUCAUACAUCAUUUUGAUAUUCUUUUUUAACGAUUUCUACAUAUUCGUUCUUUAUCUUUAGGAAAACAAAAAGGGCCUUAAAUUACUAAAGAUUCAUUUACACUUAUGAAUUGAUCAAUUUGAUUUUUUUAAAUCUUUAAUAUGUAAAAUUGGAAGUAGCAAAAUAGAAACACAUCAAAACUGGUUGAAAAUUACCCAAAGUUUAUUUUUUAUACAAUCUCUUAAAUUGUUUCUUUCACUAAAAAAAGUAAGCGUAUUA
This 482-nucleotide long non-coding RNA is filed under the name Helianthus annuus (common sunflower). RNAcentral describes it as "sRNA HanXRQr2_Chr09g0378971". The record is from RNAcentral. Lineage: Eukaryota; Viridiplantae; Streptophyta; Magnoliopsida; Asterales; Asteraceae.